RNAcentral lists this ribosomal RNA (1430 nucleotides) under Lactiplantibacillus plantarum. RNAcentral describes it as "bacterial SSU rRNA". It matches the Rfam family "Bacterial small subunit ribosomal RNA". Lineage: Bacteria; Bacillati; Bacillota; Bacilli; Lactobacillales; Lactobacillaceae. The record is from RNAcentral.
AAGUCGAACGAACUCUGGUAUUGAUUGGUGCUUGCAUCAUGAUUUACAUUUGAGUGAGUGGCGAACUGGUGAGUAACACGUGGGAAACCUGCCCAGAAGCGGGGGAUAACACCUGGAAACAGAUGCUAAUACCGCAUAACAACUUGGACCGCAUGGUCCGAGCUUGAAAGAUGGCUUCGGCUAUCACUUUUGGAUGGUCCCGCGGCGUAUUAGCUAGAUGGUGGGGUAACGGCUCACCAUGGCAAUGAUACGUAGCCGACCUGAGAGGGUAAUCGGCCACAUUGGGACUGAGACACGGCCCAAACUCCUACGGGAGGCAGCAGUAGGGAAUCUUCCACAAUGGACGAAAGUCUGAUGGAGCAACGCCGCGUGAGUGAAGAAGGGUUUCGGCUCGUAAAACUCUGUUGUUAAAGAAGAACAUAUCUGAGAGUAACUGUUCAGGUAUUGACGGUAUUUAACCAGAAAGCCACGGCUAACUACGUGCCAGCAGCCGCGGUAAUACGUAGGUGGCAAGCGUUGUCCGGAUUUAUUGGGCGUAAAGCGAGCGCAGGCGGUUUUUUAAGUCUGAUGUGAAAGCCUUCGGCUCAACCGAAGAAGUGCAUCGGAAACUGGGAAACUUGAGUGCAGAAGAGGACAGUGGAACUCCAUGUGUAGCGGUGAAAUGCGUAGAUAUAUGGAAGAACACCAGUGGCGAAGGCGGCUGUCUGGUCUGUAACUGACGCUGAGGCUCGAAAGUAUGGGUAGCAAACAGGAUUAGAUACCCUGGUAGUCCAUACCGUAAACGAUGAAUGCUAAGUGUUGGAGGGUUUCCGCCCUUCAGUGCUGCAGCUAACGCAUUAAGCAUUCCGCCUGGGGAGUACGGCCGCAAGGCUGAAACUCAAAGGAAUUGACGGGGGCCCGCACAAGCGGUGGAGCAUGUGGUUUAAUUCGAAGCUACGCGAAGAACCUUACCAGGUCUUGACAUACUAUGCAAAUCUAAGAGAUUAGACGUUCCCUUCGGGGACAUGGAUACAGGUGGUGCAUGGUUGUCGUCAGCUCGUGUCGUGAGAUGUUGGGUUAAGUCCCGCAACGAGCGCAACCCUUAUUAUCAGUUGCCAGCAUUAAGUUGGGCACUCUGGUGAGACUGCCGGUGACAAACCGGAGGAAGGUGGGGAUGACGUCAAAUCAUCAUGCCCCUUAUGACCUGGGCUACACACGUGCUACAAUGGAUGGUACAACGAGUUGCGAACUCGCGAGAGUAAGCUAAUCUCUUAAAGCCAUUCUCAGUUCGGAUUGUAGGCUGCAACUCGCCUACAUGAAGUCGGAAUCGCUAGUAAUCGCGGAUCAGCAUGCCGCGGUGAAUACGUUCCCGGGCCUUGUACACACCGCCCGUCACACCAUGAGAGUUUGUAACACCCAAAGUCGGUGGGGUAACCUUUUAGGAACCAGCC